This is a ribosomal RNA of 415 nucleotides. The stretch from base 123 to 276 matches the Rfam family "5.8S ribosomal RNA".
CGUGUCUACCUACCUUUGUUGCUUGGCAGGCCGCCUUCGGGCGUCGGCUCCGGCUGAUUAGCGCCUGCCAGAGGCCCCAAAACUCUGUGUUUAGUGAUGUCUGAGUACUAUAAAAUAUUUAAAACUUUCAACAACGGAUCUCUUGGUUCUGGCAUCGAUGAAGAACGCAGCGAAAUGCGAUAAGUAAUGUGAAUUAAAAAAUUCAGUGAAUCAUCGAAUCUUUGAACGCACAUUGCGCCCCUUGGUAUUCCGAGGGGCAUGCCUGUUCGAGCGUCAUUAUAACCACUCAAGCCUAGCUUGGUCUUGGGGUUCGCGUGCUCGCGGCCCUUAAAAUCAGUGGCGGUGCCGUCGGGCUCUAAGCGUAGUAAUUCUCUCGCUAUAGGGUCCCGGCGGUGCUUGCCAGGAACCCCACAUU